UACGUAGGGUGCAAGCGUUAAUCGGAAUUACUGGGCGUAAAGCGUGCGCAGGCGGCUUUGCAAGGCAGAUGUGAAAUCCCCGGGCUUAACCUGGGAACUGCAUUUGUGACUGCAUGGCUGGAGUGCGGCAGAGGGGGAUGGAAUUCCGCGUGUAGCAGUGAAAUGCGUAGAUAUGCGGAGGAACACCGAUGGCGAAGGCAAUCCCCUGGGCCUGCACUGACGCUCAUGCACGAAAGCGUGGGGAGCAAACAGG
Molecule: ribosomal RNA, 253 nt
Filed under: uncultured bacterium
Lineage: Bacteria
Description: partial 16S ribosomal RNA
Rfam family: Bacterial small subunit ribosomal RNA
Source: RNAcentral